GCGCCCGUAGCUCAACGGAUAGAGCAUCUGACUACGGAUCAGAAGGUUGGGGGUUCGAAUCCCUUCGGGCGCGCCG
This 76-nucleotide transfer RNA is filed under the name Mycobacterium heckeshornense. Its description in RNAcentral is "tRNA-Arg". It matches the Rfam family "tRNA". Rfam says of the family: Transfer RNA (tRNA) molecules are approximately 80 nucleotides in length. Their secondary structure includes four short double-helical elements and three loops (D, anti-codon, and T loops). Lineage: Bacteria; Bacillati; Actinomycetota; Actinomycetes; Mycobacteriales; Mycobacteriaceae. The record is from RNAcentral.